UGCCCAUAUAACAUUUGGAAACAGGUGCUAAUACCGUAUAACACUAUUUUCCGCAUGGAAGAAAGUUGAAAGGCGCUUUUGCGCCACUGAUGGAUGGACCCGCGGUGCAUUAGCUAGUUGGUGAGGUAACGGCUCACCAAGGCCACGAUGCAUAGCCGACCUGAGAGGGUGAUCGGCCACACUGGGACUGAGACACGGCCCAGACUCCUACGGGAGGCAGCAGUAGGGAAUCUUCGGCAAUGGACGAAAGUCUGACCGAGCAACGCCGCGUGAGUGAAGAAGGUUUUCGGAUCGUAAAACUCUGUUGUUAGAGAAGAACAAGGAUGAGAGUAAAACGUUCAUCCCUUGACGGUAUCUAACCAGAAAGCCACGGCUAACUACGUGCCAGCAGCCGCGGUAAUACGUAGGUGGCAAGCGUUGUCCGGAUUUAUUGGGCGUAAAGCGAGCGCAGGCGGUUUCUUAAGUCUGAUGUGAAAGCCCCCGGCUCAACCGGGGAGGGUCAUUGGAAACUGGGAGACUUGAGUGCAGAAGAGGAGAGUGGAAUUCCAUGUGUAGCGGUGAAAUGCGUAGAUAUAUGGAGGAACACCAGUGGCGAAGGCGGCUCUCUGGUCUGUAACUGACGCUGAGGCUCGAAAGCGUGGGGAGCGAACAGGAUUAGAUACCCUGGUAGUCCACGCCGUAAACGAUGAGUGCUAAGUG
This 699-nucleotide ribosomal RNA is filed under the name uncultured bacterium. RNAcentral describes it as "bacterial SSU rRNA". It matches the Rfam family "Bacterial small subunit ribosomal RNA", at positions 136 to 822 of the family's 1533-position model. The record is from RNAcentral.